Molecule: unclassified non-coding RNA, 225 nt
Filed under: Hevea brasiliensis (rubber tree)
Lineage: Eukaryota; Viridiplantae; Streptophyta; Magnoliopsida; Malpighiales; Euphorbiaceae
Source: RNAcentral
GAGCUUUUCGCUGGAAAAGUAUUGGAGUCUCAAGCUUGUCUGAGGGAGAAAAAAGUGAUGGAAUUGGUAGAAUUCUUGAGGUCAAAAGAAGGUCAAGUGGUGAAUAUUGGAGAGCUAGUAGUCUUUGCAACUGUUUUGAACAUGUUGAGUAAUGUUCUGAUAUCUAAAGAUAUGGUUAAUUUGGAGAAAGAAAUAGAAGAUGGUGGGAUUAGAAAUCUAAUAAGG